This 402-nucleotide ribosomal RNA is filed under the name Triticum aestivum (bread wheat). Its description in RNAcentral is "partial small subunit ribosomal RNA". Lineage: Eukaryota; Viridiplantae; Streptophyta; Magnoliopsida; Poales; Poaceae. The record is from RNAcentral.
AUGGCUUCCAAGCAGAUGCUGGUCGUCGCCAUUGCCGUGGCCGCCCUCAUUGUCGCCUUCCUUCCAGGGCUCGCCGUCGCCACAGAACACGUGGUCGGCGACGACAAGGGCUGGGCCCUCUAUGUCGACUACACGGCCUGGGCUGAGACCAAGCAGUUCGUGGUCGGCGACAUGCUAGUGUUCGAGUACGGCAUCUCCAGCCACAAUGUCGUGGAGGUGAGCGGGCCAGAUUUCCUCAUUUGCAACCAGACCGACAACGCCGUCGUCCGGACCUCCGGCGAGGACCGGGUCGUGCUCGACAAGGCCGGACGCCGGUGGUUCUUCUGCGGCAUCGACAACAACUGCGAGAACGGCGUGAAGCUCAAGAUCACCGUCCUCGAGACCGCCCCACCGGCUCCCUAA